This 64-nucleotide transfer RNA is filed under the name Stenostomum leucops. Its description in RNAcentral is "tRNA-Trp". Lineage: Eukaryota; Metazoa; Platyhelminthes; Stenostomidae. RNAcentral also lists the same sequence under 1 other name. The record is from RNAcentral.
AGAAAGUUAGAUUAUUUAGAUUUUAAACCUUCAAAGUUUAAGGAAAAGUUACUUUUACUUUCUG